Molecule: ribosomal RNA, 253 nt
Filed under: uncultured bacterium
Lineage: Bacteria
Description: partial 16S ribosomal RNA
Rfam family: Bacterial small subunit ribosomal RNA
Source: RNAcentral
UACGUAGGGGGCAAGCGUUGUCCGGAAUCAUUGGGCGUAAAGAGCGUGUAGGCGGCCUGGUAAGUCCGCUGUGAAAGUCCAGGGCUCAACCCUGGAAUGCCGGUGGAAACUGUCAGGCUCGAGUCCGGAAGAGGCGAGUGGAAUUCCUGGUGUAGCGGUGAAAUGCGCAGAUAUCAGGAGGAACACCGAUGGCGAAGGCAGCUCGCUGGGACGGUACUGACGCUGAGGCGCGAAAGCGUGGGGAGCAAACAGG